GACGAACCGUGCGCACGUUGUUCGGAAUCACUGGGCUUAAAGGGCGCGUAGGCGGGCCGCCGCGUCCGGGGUGAAAUCCCCCCGCUCAACGGGGGAACGGCCUCGGAUACGGGCGGCCUGGAGGCGGGUAGGGGCACGCGGAACUGUGGGUGGAGCGGUGAAAUGCGUUGAGAUCCACAGGAACUCCGGUGGCGAAGGCGGCGUGCUGGACCCGAUCUGACGCUGAGGCGCGAAAGCCAGGGGAGCGAACGGG
This 253-nucleotide ribosomal RNA is filed under the name uncultured bacterium. RNAcentral's name for it is "partial 16S ribosomal RNA". It matches the Rfam family "Bacterial small subunit ribosomal RNA", at positions 524 to 776 of the family's 1533-position model. The record is from RNAcentral.